This 477-nucleotide ribosomal RNA is filed under the name Triticum aestivum (bread wheat). RNAcentral's name for it is "partial small subunit ribosomal RNA". The record is from RNAcentral. Lineage: Eukaryota; Viridiplantae; Streptophyta; Magnoliopsida; Poales; Poaceae.
AUGAGCUUAUCUUCCAUUGGGGUCAUCGGUGCCAUCAAUGAGUGUAUCACUUUGUUUCAGUGGGCCAAAUCCGCCAUUUCAUCUCUGCACUCCCGAUGGAGUGGCUCACAGCAGCAAGAUCUCCAAGGUCGUAUAUCACAGUUGGAGAGUGGCCUACAAGGUCUCAGGGAUACUCUUCCCAUAAUGCAUGACCUCAUUAAUAAAGCAGAGUGGAGGAGCCAUGAUGACGUUGUGGCAAGUCUCCUUCCGAAACUCAAGGAUUCAGUGUCUGACGCCGAGGACCUUAUUGAUGAGUUUAGUUGGUAUGAGAAGAAGGUGCAAGUGGAGGGCGAUGCAGGCGAGUCUCCUUUCAUUGAAUUCUUUGAUAGUGUAAUCCAAGGUAGCUUCAAUAAGCUGAAUGAUGCCCAAUUGAGAUUGGAUCGUCUUUCGAGUCAGCUUUGGGGCUUCAUGGAAUUGCACAACGCUUUGACAAAUUAG